This 67-nucleotide transfer RNA is filed under the name Ectobius sp. Z254C. RNAcentral's name for it is "tRNA-Ile". The record is from RNAcentral. Lineage: Eukaryota; Metazoa; Arthropoda; Insecta; Blattodea; Ectobiidae.
AGUGAUGUGCCUGAAUAAAAGGAUUAUCGUGAUAGGAUAAAUUAUAUAAUACAUUUUAUCAUCACUA